UUGACAUAGACCCAAGCCCUCUAGUAGGAUGAUGCAUCGGGGAUGGUCGGGAUAGCUCA
RNAcentral lists this transfer RNA (59 nucleotides) under Drimys winteri. RNAcentral describes it as "partial tRNA-Phe". RNAcentral also lists the same sequence under 1 other name. Lineage: Eukaryota; Viridiplantae; Streptophyta; Magnoliopsida; Canellales; Winteraceae. The record is from RNAcentral.